GUGCAGCCCUAAGUGGGUGGUAAACUCCAUCUAAGGCUAAAUAUGACCACGAGACCGAUAGCGAACAAGUACCGUGAGGGAAAGUUGAAAAGCACUUUGAAGAGAGAGUUCAAGAGUACGUGAAACCGUUUAGGGGUAAACCUGAGAAACCCGAAAGGUCGAAGGGAGAAAUUCAUUCGCGUUUCGACGUAGGCGUCGGGCGGUCGUGUGACGGGAAGCGUUCGCGUUUUCCGCACCUUCUGUCCGUCGAACCGGCGACGAACGCGUGCACUUUUCUCCUGGUAGGACGUCGCGAUCCGUUGGGUGUCGGUCUACGGCUCGCGGUGGAGCCCGUUCGCCAUUACGUGCGAGCGGACCCGCGUGUCCCGGCUGACUCGCUCGACGGUAUACGAAAGGUUUGAGGCCGCUCUCGGAGCGUUCGACUCGUUGCAAGCGCGCCAGAUGUGUCGGCGAUCGGACCUAGUGCCGGUUCCGAUCUCUGGUGACUGUUGGCCUCGAUGUUCUCGAACAGACCUCUGACCGAUCGGCGACGCUAUAGCUUUGGGUACUUUCAGGACCCGUCUUCAAGGAGUCUAGCAUGUGCGCGAGUCAUUGGGAAUCACUAAACCUAAAGGCGCAAUGAAAGUGAAGGUCUUCCUUGCGAAGACCGAGGGAAGACGAGCGGUUUACCCUUAAAAGUGGCCGCUCCGCAUUCCCGGGGCGUCUCGUUCUCAUUGCGAGAAGAGGCGCACCAAGAGCGUACACGCUGGGACCCGAAAGAUGGUGAACUAUGCCUGGUCAGGACGAAGUCAGGGGAAACCCUGAUGGAGGUCCGUAGCGAUUCUGACGUGCAAAUCGAUCGUCGGAACUGGGUAUAGGGGCGAAAGACUAAUCGAACCAUCUAGUAGCUGGUUCCCUCCGAAGUUUCCCUCAGGAUAGCUGGCGCUCGUUGCGCACGAGUCUCAUCCGGUAAAGCGAAUGAUUAGAGGCAUUGGGGUCGAAACGACCUCAACCUAUUCUCAAACUUUAAAUGGGUGAGAUCUCCGGCUUGCUCGAACUUAUGAAGCCGCGAGACACGGAUCAGAGUGCCAAGUGGGCCAUUUUUGGUAAGCAGA
RNAcentral lists this ribosomal RNA (1094 nucleotides) under Ceratopus sp. 8 LP-2019. Its description in RNAcentral is "partial 28S ribosomal RNA". It matches the Rfam family "Eukaryotic large subunit ribosomal RNA", at positions 280 to 1148 of the family's 3401-position model. The record is from RNAcentral. Lineage: Eukaryota; Metazoa; Arthropoda; Insecta; Coleoptera; Curculionidae.